AGGAGAGUUUGAUCCUGGCUCAGGAUGAACGCUAGCUACAGGCUUAACACAUGCAAGUCGUGGGGCAGCAUGAACUUAGCUUGCUAAGUUUGAUGGCGACCGGCGCACGGGUGAGUAACGCGUAUCCAACCUUCCCCCUGGUAGGGCAUAGCCCGGCGAAAGUCGGAUUAAUACCCUAUGUUUUCCCUUGACGGCAUCCGACGGGGAACAAAGAUUUAUCGCCAUGGGAUGGGGAUGCGUCCGAUUAGGUAGACGGCGGGGUGACGGCCCACCGUGCCUUCGAUCGGUAGGGGUUCUGAGAGGAAGGUCCCCCACACUGGAACUGAGACACGGUCCAGACUCCUACGGGAGGCAGCAGUGAGGAAUAUUGGUCAAUGGGCGGAAGCCUGAACCAGCCAAGUAGCGUGCAGGAUGACGGCCCUACGGGUUGUAAACUGCUUUUGGAGGGGAAUAAAGUGCGGGACGUGUCCUGCUUUGCAUGUACCCUCAGAAUAAGGACCGGCUAAUUCCGUGCCAGCAGCCGCGGUAAUACGGAAGGUCCGGGCGUUAUCCGGAUUUAUUGGGUUUAAAGGGAGCGCAGGCCGGUGCUUAAGCGUGACGUGAAAUGCCGCGGCUCAACCGUGGAAGUGCGUCGCGAACUGGGUGCCUUGAGUGGGUUCGACGCCGGCGGAAUUCGUGGUGUAGCGGUGAAAUGCUUAGAUAUCACGAAGAACCCCGAUUGCGAAGGCAGCCGGCGAGGCCUCAACUGACGCUAAAGCUCGAAGGUGCGGGUAUCGAACAGGAUUAGAUACCCUGGUAGUCCCCU
RNAcentral lists this ribosomal RNA (805 nucleotides) under uncultured Bacteroidota bacterium. Its description in RNAcentral is "bacterial SSU rRNA". It matches the Rfam family "Bacterial small subunit ribosomal RNA", at positions 1 to 799 of the family's 1533-position model. Lineage: Bacteria; Pseudomonadati; Bacteroidota. The record is from RNAcentral.